Molecule: long non-coding RNA, 367 nt
Organism: Cydia fagiglandana
Lineage: Eukaryota; Metazoa; Arthropoda; Insecta; Lepidoptera; Tortricidae
Exons: 2
Source: RefSeq, a predicted model, not a curated record
GCGACGGCAUCGGGAUUAAGAGGUGUGUUUUGUUUUUGCGGCUCGCCGAUGUAAAUUUUUACGUACGCAAAAUAGACGAUGCCGAAAGUACGAGUCAGAACUACCACAAAAGCUUCCUGGUCUUCUGACACAUUGGAAAAAGCAGUGAAACUUAUAGAAGAAGAUGGAUUUUUGUAUGAUCCUCAUUACCCGCAAGGUGACCACAAUAGCCCAUACCUCUGUGCAAUGGGAGUCAAAACAGUUAAUUUUUGUAACUUUCAUAUUUGCCAAAGAUGAUUAGUAAUGUGACGAUUAUUGAUCUCAAAUAAUAGUCAAUUAAGUAGAUUUUGUUAUGAGGCGGUUGCAAUAAAGAUUUCGUUUCAUUUUA